Long non-coding RNA from Pongo pygmaeus (Bornean orangutan), 332 nucleotides. RefSeq lists it as uncharacterized. NCBI's taxonomy places the organism in Eukaryota, Metazoa, Chordata, Mammalia, Primates, Hominidae. The transcript has 3 exons. The record is from RefSeq and is a predicted model, not a curated record.
AUCCUUUUCCACUUCUGAAAGUCUUCAAACCCAGUCACCCCAAAUGCAACCAUCGUGUGAAACCCCGUUAAUCAGAGAUGAGGUCUUGCUACGUUUUCCAGGCUCGUCUGAAACUCCUGGCCUCAAGUGAUCCUCUCUCCUUGACCUCCCAAAGUGCUGGGAUUACAGAGGCCCGUUUGAGGCAGAGGCUCUGUGACCCGCACACACCUCCCAGAAGAAGAUACUGCAGAAACACUGAAACUGGAAAGAGGGAAAAAGUCACCCCACACAAAGGUUCUGUUUUCUGACCCGGGUGUAGGCUGCAUGGGUGUGUUCAUUAUGUGAGCAUUCAU